This 253-nucleotide ribosomal RNA is filed under the name uncultured bacterium. RNAcentral's name for it is "partial 16S ribosomal RNA". It matches the Rfam family "Bacterial small subunit ribosomal RNA", at positions 524 to 776 of the family's 1533-position model. The record is from RNAcentral.
UACAGAGGUGGCAAGCGUUGUUCGGAUUUACUGGGCGUAAAGGGCGUGCAGGCGGUUUGUUAAGUGCAGGGUGAAAGCUCCCGGCUCAACUGGGAGAGGUCCUUGCAUACUGGCAAACUCGAGGGAGGCAGAGGAAAGUGGAAUUCCCGGUGUAGUGGUGAUAUGCGUAGAUAUCGGGAGGAACACCUGUGGCGAAGGCGGCUUUCUGGGCCUUACCUGACGCUGAGACGCGAAAGCGUGGGGAGCGAACCGG